AACGCACAUUGCGCCCCGUGGUAUUCCGCGGGGCAUGCCUGUUCGAGCGUCAUUUCAACCCAUCAAGCUUCUGCUUGGUCUUGGGGCCUGCGGUUCCGCAGCCUCUAAACUCAGUGGCGGUGCUAUUGAGCUCUGAGCGUAGUAAUUAUUCUCGCUAUAGGGUCUCCGUGGUUACUUGCCAGCAACCCCCAAUUUUUAUCAGGUUGACCUCGGAUCAGGUAGGGAUACCCGCUGAACUUAA
This 241-nucleotide unclassified non-coding RNA is filed under the name uncultured fungus. Its description in RNAcentral is "sequence contains ITS2". The stretch from base 1 to 52 matches the Rfam family "5.8S ribosomal RNA", at positions 103 to 154 of the family's 154-position model. The record is from RNAcentral. Lineage: Eukaryota; Fungi.